UCAAGAAACUUCCACAAUGGGCGAAAGCCUGAUGGAGCGACGUCGCGUGAUGGACGAAGUGCUUCGGCACGUAAACAUCUUUUAUGUGGGAUGAAAUUAUUGACAGUACCACAUGAAUAAGGGGCUCCUAACUCUGUGCCAGCAGGAGCGGUAAUACAGAGGCCACAAGCGUUACCCGGAAUUACUGGGCGUAAAGAGUGCGUAGGUGGUCGUGUUAGUCGUCUGUCAAAACCCAGGGCUCAACCCUGGAUCCGCAGGCGAAACGGCACGACUCGAGGGAGUGAGAGGUGAAUGGAACUCAUGGUGUAGCGGUGAAAUGCGUAGAUAUCGGAAGGAACAUCGGUGGCGAAGGCGUCUACCUGGCCUAAUACUGACACUGAGGCACGAAAGCGUGGGGAGCAAACAGGAUUAGAUACCCCCGUAGUCCCUGAGCGGGCUGGCAAGGCGCGAU
RNAcentral lists this ribosomal RNA (451 nucleotides) under uncultured bacterium. RNAcentral describes it as "bacterial SSU rRNA". It matches the Rfam family "Bacterial small subunit ribosomal RNA", at positions 355 to 826 of the family's 1533-position model. The record is from RNAcentral.